This 253-nucleotide ribosomal RNA is filed under the name uncultured bacterium. RNAcentral describes it as "partial 16S ribosomal RNA". It matches the Rfam family "Bacterial small subunit ribosomal RNA", at positions 524 to 776 of the family's 1533-position model. The record is from RNAcentral.
UACAGAGGGGGCAAGCGUUGUUCGGAAUUACUGGGCGUAAAGGGCGCGUAGGCGGCCUUCUAAGUCGAACGUGAAAUCCCCGGGCUCAACCCGGGAACUGCGUCCGAGACUGGAAGGCUCGAAUCCGGGAGAGGGAUGUGGAAUUCCAGGUGUAGCGGUGAAAUGCGUAGAUAUCUGGAGGAACAUCGGUGGCGAAGGCGGCAUCCUGGACCGGUAUUGACGCUGAGGCGCGAAAGCCAGGGGAGCAAACGGG